CCAGACUCCUACGGGAGGCAGCAGUGGGGAAUAUUGCACAAUGGGGGAAACCCUGAUGCAGCGACGCCGCGUGAGUGAAGAAGUAUUUCGGUAUGUAAAGCUCUAUCAGCAGGGAAGAAAUAGCGACCUUUGGGUCGCCAGACGGUACCUGAUUAAGAAGCCCCGGCUAACUACGUGCCAGCAGCCGCGGUAAUACGUAGGGGGCAAGCGUUAUCCGGAUUUACUGGGUGUAAAGGGAGCGUAGACGGCAGCGCAAGUCUGAAGUGAAAGGCGGGGGCCCAACCCCCGGACUGCUUUGGAAACUGUAUAACUGGAGUGCAGGAGAGGUAAGUGGAAUUCCUAGUGUAGCGGUGAAAUGCGUAGAUAUUAGGAGGAACACCAGUGGCGAAGGCGGCUUACUGGACUGUAACUGACGUUGAGGCUCGAAAGCGUGGGGAGCAAACAGGAUUAGAUACCCUUGUA
Molecule: ribosomal RNA, 462 nt
Filed under: uncultured bacterium
Lineage: Bacteria
Description: bacterial SSU rRNA
Rfam family: Bacterial small subunit ribosomal RNA
Source: RNAcentral